RNAcentral lists this ribosomal RNA (402 nucleotides) under uncultured bacterium. RNAcentral's name for it is "bacterial SSU rRNA". It matches the Rfam family "Bacterial small subunit ribosomal RNA", at positions 355 to 774 of the family's 1533-position model. The record is from RNAcentral.
UGGGGAAUCUUGCACAAUGGGGGCAACCCUGAUGCAGCGACGCCGCGUGAGCGAUGAAGCCCUUCGGGGCGUAAAGCUCUUUCGACCGGAACGAUAAUGACGGUACCGGGAGAAGAAGCUGCGGCUAACUACGUGCAAGCAGCCGCGGUAAUACGUAGGCAGCAAGCGUUGUUCGGGGUUACUGGGCGUAAAGAGUGCGUAGGCGGUUUUCUAAGUUCGGUGUGAAAUCUCCCGGCUUAACUGGGAGGGUGCGCCGAAGACUGGGAAGCUGGAGUGUGGGAAAGGCAGGCGGAAUUCCUGGUGUCGCGGUGAAAUGCGUAGAUAUCAGGAGGAACACCGGCGGUGUAGACGGCUUGCUAGACCAUAACUGACGCUGAGGCACGAAAGCGUGGGUAGCAAACA